Molecule: ribosomal RNA, 710 nt
Filed under: Lentilactobacillus buchneri
Lineage: Bacteria; Bacillati; Bacillota; Bacilli; Lactobacillales; Lactobacillaceae
Description: bacterial SSU rRNA
Rfam family: Bacterial small subunit ribosomal RNA
Source: RNAcentral
AUUUUAGGUGCUUGCACUUGAAAGAUUUAACAUUGAGACGAGUGGCGAACUGGUGAGUAACACGUGGGUAACCUGCCCUUGAAGUAGGGGAUAACACUUGGAAACAGGUGCUAAUACCGUAUAACAACCAAAACCACCUGGUUUUGGUUUAAAAGACGGCUUCGGCUGUCACUUUAGGAUGGACCCGCGGCGUAUUAGCUUGUUGGUAAGGUAACGGCCUACCAAGGCGAUGAUACGUAGCCGACCUGAGAGGGUAAUCGGCCACAUUGGGACUGAGACACGGCCCAAACUCCUACGGGAGGCAGCAGUAGGGAAUCUUCCACAAUGGACGAAAGUCUGAUGGAGCAACGCCGCGUGAGUGAUGAAGGGUUUCGGCUCGUAAAACUCUGUUGUUGGAGAAGAACAGGUGUCAGAGUAACUGUUGACAUCUUGACGGUAUCCAACCAGAAAGCCACGGCUAACUACGUGCCAGCAGCCGCGGUAAUACGUAGGUGGCAAGCGUUGUCCGGAUUUAUUGGGCGUAAAGCGAGCGCAGGCGGUUUUUUAGGUCUGAUGUGAAAGCCUUCGGCUUAACCGGAGAAGUGCAUCGGAAACCGGGAGACUUGAGUGCAGAAGAGGACAGUGGAACUCCAUGUGUAGCGGUGAAAUGCGUAGAUAUAUGGAAGAACACCAGUGGCGAAGGCGGCUGUCUGGUCUGUAACUGACGCUGA